RNAcentral lists this signal recognition particle RNA (308 nucleotides) under Saimiri boliviensis boliviensis (Bolivian squirrel monkey). RNAcentral's name for it is "Metazoan signal recognition particle RNA (ENSSBOG00000005679.1)". It matches the Rfam family "Metazoan signal recognition particle RNA". Rfam says of the family: The signal recognition particle (SRP) is a universally conserved ribonucleoprotein. It is involved in the co-translational targeting of proteins to membranes. The eukaryotic SRP consists of a 300-nucleotide 7S RNA and six proteins: SRPs 72, 68, 54, 19, 14, and 9. The record is from RNAcentral. Lineage: Eukaryota; Metazoa; Chordata; Mammalia; Primates; Cebidae.
GCUGGGCGUGGUGGUAUGUGCCUGUAGUCCCAGCUACUCGGGAGGCUGAGGCUGGAGGAUCGCUUGAGCCCAGGAGUUCUGGGCAUAGUGCGCUAUGCCGAUCGGGUGUCCACACCAAGUUUGGCAUCAAUAUGGUGACCUCCCGGGAGUGGGGGACCACCAGGUUGCCUAAGGAGGGGUGAACUGGCCCAGGUCAGAAAUGGAGCAGGUCAAAACUCCUGUGCUAUAGUAAUGGGAUCAGUAAUGGGAUCGUGCCGGUGAAUAGCCACCACACUCCAGCCUGGGCAACAUAGCAAGACCCCGUCUCU